UACAGGGGGGGCAAGCGUUGUUCGGAAUUACUGGGCGUAAAGGGCCUGUAGGCGGCCAACUAAGUCGGAUGUGAAAUCCCCAGGCUUAACCUGGGAACUGCAUCCGAUACUGGAUGGCUUGAAUCCGGGAGAGGGAUGCGGAAUUCCUGGUGUAGCGGUGAAAUGCGCAGAUAUCAGGAGGAACACCGGUGGCGAAGGCGGGUCUCUGGGCCGUAACUGACGCUGAGGAGCGAAAGCGUGGGGAGCGAACAGG
This 253-nucleotide ribosomal RNA is filed under the name uncultured bacterium. Its description in RNAcentral is "partial 16S ribosomal RNA". It matches the Rfam family "Bacterial small subunit ribosomal RNA", at positions 524 to 776 of the family's 1533-position model. The record is from RNAcentral.